UACGUAGGGGGCAAGCGUUGUCCGGAAUCAUUGGGCGUAAAGAGCGUGUAGGCGGUCCGGUAAGUCGGCUGUGAAAGUCCAGGGCUCAACCCUAGGAUGCCGGUCGAUACUGCCGGACUAGAGUUCGGAAGAGGCGAGUGGAAUUCCCGGUGUAGCGGUGAAAUGCGCAGAUAUCGGGAGGAACACCUAUGGCGAAGGCAGCUCGCUGGGACGUUACUGACGCUGAGACGCGAAAGCGUGGGGAGCAAACAGG
RNAcentral lists this ribosomal RNA (253 nucleotides) under uncultured bacterium. RNAcentral's name for it is "partial 16S ribosomal RNA". It matches the Rfam family "Bacterial small subunit ribosomal RNA", at positions 524 to 776 of the family's 1533-position model. The record is from RNAcentral.